This 464-nucleotide ribosomal RNA is filed under the name uncultured bacterium. RNAcentral describes it as "partial 16S ribosomal RNA". It matches the Rfam family "Bacterial small subunit ribosomal RNA", at positions 339 to 795 of the family's 1533-position model. The record is from RNAcentral.
CUACGGGUGGCUCCAGUGGGGAAUUUUGGACAAUGGGCGCAAGCCUGAUCCAGCCAUUCCGCGUGAGUGAAGAAGGCCUUCGGGUUGUAAAGCUCUUUCGCAAGGGAAGAAAACUUAUCCUCUAACAUAGGGUGAGGUUGACGGUACCUUGAUAAGAAGCACCGGCUAACAACGUGCCAGCAGCCGCGGUAAUACGUAGGGUGCGAGCGUUAAUCGGAAUUACUGGGCGUAAAGCGUGCGCAGGCUGUUUUGUAAGUCAGAUGUGAAAUCCCCGAGCUCAACUUGGGAACUGCGUUUGGAACUACAAGACUAGAAUAUGUCAGAGGGGGGUAGAAUUCCAUGUGUAGCAGUGAAAUGCGUAGAGAUGUGGAGGAAUACCAAUGGCGAAGGCAGCCCCCUGGGAUAAUAUUGACGCUCAUGCACGAAAGCGUGGGGAGCAAACAGGAUUAGAUACCCCUGUAGUC